GCCGGCGUAGCUCAGCUGGUAGAGCGGAGGACUGAAAAUCCUUAUGUCAUCAGUUCGAUUCUGAUCGCUGGCA
Molecule: transfer RNA, 73 nt
Filed under: Treponema sp.
Lineage: Bacteria; Pseudomonadati; Spirochaetota; Spirochaetia; Treponematales; Treponemataceae
Also listed under: 3 other names
Description: tRNA-Phe
Rfam family: tRNA
About the family: Transfer RNA (tRNA) molecules are approximately 80 nucleotides in length. Their secondary structure includes four short double-helical elements and three loops (D, anti-codon, and T loops). Further hydrogen bonds mediate the characteristic L-shaped molecular structure. tRNAs have two regions of fundamental functional importance: the anti-codon, which is responsible for specific mRNA codon recognition, and the 3' end, to which the tRNAs corresponding amino acid is attached (by aminoacyl-tRNA synthetases). tRNAs cope with the degeneracy of the genetic code in two manners: having more than one tRNA (with a specific anti-codon) for a particular amino acid; and 'wobble' base-pairing, i.e. permitting non-standard base-pairing at the 3rd anti-codon position.
Source: RNAcentral